CAAAGAUUCGCCUGCCUCUGCCUCCCAACACUCGGGAGGCAGAGGCAGGCAGAUCUCUGUGAGUUCAAGGCCAGCCUGGUCUACAGAGUGAGUUCUAGGACAGAAUCCAAAGAAAUACAGAGAAACCCUGUCUCGAAAAACAAAAACAUUAAAAAAGAAAAAUACACACUAGCAGUGAAUGAGAGGAUAGUUCAGUGCAAGGACAUUGAGAAAAUCUAAUCUUAUUUAUGUUUAUAACUCCAGAUACUCAAAACUGACAAAGAGCCAGGUAUAGUGGUUAAUGCCUUUAAUCGUGGCACUUGGGAAGCAGAGGCAAGUGGAUCUCUUUGAGUUCGAGGCCAGCCUGGUCUACAGAGCAAGUGCCAGGACAGCCUCCUAAGCUACAGAGAGAAACCCUGUCUGGAACUGCCCAUCCACAAAAAAAAAAAAAAAAAAAAAAAAAGCACCAGCUGUGGAUAAGAGUGUGUACACAAACACAUUUCAUUGUUUAUAUUAAAUACCUGAUGCAUUAAACAUAUGCUCCAAUAACUUGAUAGCUUUUGAUUUAUCCAAACAGUAUAAUGAAAUUUACAGCCAACUUUCAUCCCAUCACAGGGAGGUGCAGUUGUGUAUUUCUGAAACCAGAUUAUAGUAGACUAACCAUUAAUACACUUAUAUUGUACACUUUUGUAGGUCUGUCUUUAUUUUUCCCACGGGACUAUGAGUGGUUGGGAGGUAACAUUUUGGCACUAAACAGAACUUGCCCACUCUCCCCCCAAUCCCAGUCUUUUCAAAUCUAGGAUACAUUAAGUCAAAACAGAAACUGCAAUUUGAGAUGAAGACCACACCUAGUAUUUGAACAGCAUGUAUUUGCUCAGCUCUGUCUGACCUGCCUGCCCUGCCCUGCCUUCAUUCUAUUGGAAGGGGCUGUGUUCCAGGGAGUGCCUUUUCCAAGGUCACAGAGUCACAUGAUAUCCUCUCAAAAUCCGGCUUUCCUGAGUCUUCCAGCCUUGCUACCUAGGCUGGCCUUGACUUCAGGAGCCCAAGUGAUCUUCCUGCUAUGGCCUCUGGGAUAGUAGAAACUACAGGUGCGCACCAUCUGUCUAAUGAUGUUAAUUUUCCCUCUCAUUUAAUAAAUGAUUUAAAGAGGC
RNAcentral lists this long non-coding RNA (1130 nucleotides) under Cricetulus griseus (Chinese hamster). RNAcentral describes it as "lncRNA (ENSCGRG00015029967.1)". Lineage: Eukaryota; Metazoa; Chordata; Mammalia; Rodentia; Cricetidae. The record is from RNAcentral.